UACGGAGGAUGCAAGCGUUAUCCGGAUUGAUUGGGCGUAAAGCGUCUGUAGGUGGUUACGCUAGUCGGCUGUUAAAGAUCAGGGCUGAACCCUGAGCAAGCAGUCGAAACUGCGUGGCUGGAGUACGGUAGGGGCAGAGGGAAUUCCCGGUGGUAGCGGUGAAAUUCGUAGAUAUUCGCAAGAACACCAGUGGCGAAGGCG
This 201-nucleotide ribosomal RNA is filed under the name uncultured bacterium. Its description in RNAcentral is "partial 16S ribosomal RNA". It matches the Rfam family "Bacterial small subunit ribosomal RNA", at positions 524 to 723 of the family's 1533-position model. The record is from RNAcentral.